UACGAAGGGGGCUAGCGUUGUUCGGAAUUACUGGGCGUAAAGGGCGCGUAGGCUGUGCUGUAAGUCAGGCGUGAAAGCCCCGGGCUCAACCCGGGAAUGGCGCUCGAGACUCUGGCUCUUGAGUCCCGGAGAGGCGGGUGGAAUUCCUGGUGUAGCGGUGAAAUGUGUAGAGAUCAGGAGGAACACCGGUGGCGCAGGCGGCCCGCUGGACGGAGACUGACGCUGAGGCGCGAAAGCGUGGGGAGCAAACGGG
RNAcentral lists this ribosomal RNA (253 nucleotides) under uncultured bacterium. Its description in RNAcentral is "partial 16S ribosomal RNA". It matches the Rfam family "Bacterial small subunit ribosomal RNA", at positions 524 to 776 of the family's 1533-position model. The record is from RNAcentral.